GUUUCAGGGCGGGGUGAAAGUCCCCACCGGUGGUGAGGCCCAAGGGCCAAGCCCACGACCGCUUUUCCCGGUGAAAGGCGCUGAUCUGGUGAAAUUCCAGAGCCGACGGUCAAAGUCCGGAUGAAAGAAA
Molecule: non-coding RNA, 130 nt
Filed under: uncultured Pygmaiobacter sp.
Lineage: Bacteria; Bacillati; Bacillota; Clostridia; Eubacteriales; Oscillospiraceae
Description: FMN riboswitch (RFN element)
Rfam family: FMN riboswitch aptamer (RFN element)
About the family: The RFN element is a highly conserved domain that is found frequently in the 5'-untranslated regions of prokaryotic mRNAs that encode for flavin mononucleotide (FMN) biosynthesis and transport proteins. This element is a metabolite-dependent riboswitch that directly binds FMN in the absence of proteins. In Bacillus subtilis, the riboswitch most likely controls gene expression by causing premature transcription termination within the 5' untranslated region of the ribDEAHT operon and precluding access to the ribosome-binding site of ypaA mRNA.
Source: RNAcentral